Molecule: ribosomal RNA, 253 nt
Filed under: uncultured bacterium
Lineage: Bacteria
Description: partial 16S ribosomal RNA
Rfam family: Bacterial small subunit ribosomal RNA
Source: RNAcentral
GACAGAGGGUGCAAACGUUGUUCGGAAUUACUGGGCGUAAAGCGCGUGUAGGCUGCUCUGCAAGUCGGAUGUGAAAGCCCUGGGCUCAACCUAGGAAGUGCAUUCGAAACUGCAAAGCUGGAGUCCUGGAGAGGAAGGCGGAAUUCUCGGUGUAGAGGUGAAAUUCGUAGAUAUCGAGAGGAACACCGGUGGCGAAGGCGGCCUUCUGGACAGUGACUGACGCUGAGACGCGAAAGCGUGGGGAGCAAACGGG